RNAcentral lists this ribosomal RNA (584 nucleotides) under uncultured bacterium. RNAcentral's name for it is "partial 16S ribosomal RNA". It matches the Rfam family "Bacterial small subunit ribosomal RNA", at positions 355 to 1375 of the family's 1533-position model. The record is from RNAcentral.
UGGGGAAUUUUGGACAAUGGGCGAAAGCCUGAUCCAGCAAUGCCGCGUGUGUGAAGAAGGCCUUCGGGUUGUAAAGCACUUUUGUCCGGAAAGAAAUCCUUGGCUCUAAUACAGUCGGGGGAUGACGGUACCGGAAGAAUAAGCACCGGCUAACUACGUGCCAGCAGCCGCGGUAAUACGUAGGGUGCAAGCGUUAAUCGGAAUUACUGGGCGUAAAGCGUGCGCAGGCGGUUUGCUAAGACCGAUGUGAAAUCCCCGGGCUCAACCUGGGAACUGCAUUGGUGACUGGCAGGCUAGAGUAUGGCAGAGGGGGGUAGAAUUCCACGUGUAGCAGUGAAAUGCGUAGAGAUGUGGAGGAAUACCGAUGGCGAAGGCAGCCCCCUGGGCCAAUACUGACGCUCAUGCACGAAAGCGUGGGGAGCAAACAGGAUUAGAUACCCUGGUAGUCCACGCCCUAAACGAUGUCAACUAGUUGUUGGGGAUUCAUUUCCUUAGUAAUGUAGCUAACGCGUGAAGUUGACCGCCUGGGGAGUACGGUCGCAAGAUUAAACUCAAAGGAAUUGACGGGGUCAUAGCUGUUUCCU